AGAAUCAACGCUGGCGGCGUGCUUAACACAUGCAAGUCGAGUGCGCGUCUGUGGCAAUACAGAUGGCGCACGGCGCACGGGUGCGUAACACGUGGGUAAUCUGCCCUUCGAAGGGGAAUAACUCGCCGAAAGGCGAGCUAAUUCCGCAUAACAUUCCGAGGACUUUGGUUUUCGGAUUCAAAGGCGUAAGUCGUCGGAGGAGGAGCCCGCGCACGAUUAGCUAGUUGGUAGGGUAACGGCCUACCAAGGCUAUGAUCGUUAGCUGGUCUGAGAGGAUGGCCAGCCACACUGGAACUGAGACACGGUCCAGACUCCUACGGGAGGCAGCAGUGGGGAAUCUUGCACAAUGGGCGAAAGCCUGAUGCAGCGACGCCGCGUGGGGGAUGAAGCUUCUCGGAGUGUAAACCCCUUUCGACCCGGACGAAAACCUCGCAAGAGGAUUGACGGUACGGGUAUAAGGAGCCCCGGCUAACUACGUGCCAGCAGCCGCGGUAAGACGUAGGGGGCCAGCGUUGCUCGGAAUUACUGGGUGUAAAGGGUUCGUAGGCGGUGUGGCAAGUCGGGAGUGAAAUCUCUGGGCUCAACCCAGAGGCUGCUUCCAAAACUGCUGUGCUAGAGUGUGGGAGAGGCGCGUGGAAUUGCAGGUGUAGCGGUGAAAUGCGUAGAUAUCUGCAGGAACACCCGUGGCGAAAGCGGCGCGCUGGACCACUACUGACGCUGAGGAACGAAAGCUAGGGGAGCAAACAGGAUUAGAUACCCUGGUAGUCCUAGCCCUAAACGAUCAGGACUUGGGGUGCCACCCGUUCGGGUGUCGUCCCGGAGCUAACGCGUUAAGUCCUGCACCUGGGGAGUACGGUCGCAAGACU
Molecule: ribosomal RNA, 866 nt
Filed under: uncultured soil bacterium
Lineage: Bacteria
Description: bacterial SSU rRNA
Rfam family: Bacterial small subunit ribosomal RNA
Source: RNAcentral